Molecule: long non-coding RNA, 2680 nt
Organism: Salvelinus namaycush (lake trout)
Lineage: Eukaryota; Metazoa; Chordata; Actinopteri; Salmoniformes; Salmonidae
Exons: 4
Source: RefSeq, a predicted model, not a curated record
UAGAGCAACAGCAAUGAGAAAACAGUCGGUGGUUGUAUGAGAAACGUUUAAUUAAAAAGCAUGGAUUUCAGAAAACACAGAAAGGCAUGCAACAACAGAAGACAAACAUAGGUGAUGGAGAUACCAAUGACGGAUCUACAGAGAGGGAGGGAAGUUGAGUCUAGAGAGGACUUGCACUCUGAAGAGGAGCAUAUGUAGGAGGCACAUUCUGUGGAGAGCAGCCUAACGGCAGCACUAACCCACUCUGAGAGAAGCAUGCACAGUGCCGGAUAUAUGGUUCAAGCGCGCAUCAUUGAGGUGGAACAUACCUUUGUCCAGCUGGAGGGUAGCAUGGACAGUAUGAGGCUGCUCUUUGAGGAGUGCAUAGAGGUGGGCCGUCUGGAAAGUCGGGGGGAUGAAUUGGUAUGGGAGCUAUUGCACCUGGAGCAACCUAUGCUGCAGGCUACGGAGGCUCUGAGGGGACAGUUGUUAGAGGCACAUAGAGUAGAGUCCUUACCAGCAUCCAGUUGGAGUAUAUUCAUCUGCAGAUAGAGGUGGGACAGGUGAAGAGUAAGCUAUUUGUCACAGCCAGACUGUAUUCAGAGCCAGCUAACACUGACUGCACAACAGUAUGAUGGCCCAGUACAGUCACACAGGAGGAGCUCCAGGCCCAUGUCCAGUCUCACAGAGGUAGCCCAGCUUAUGGAGACCCGGCACAACCAGCUGAACACCCUGAAGGAUUGGGCGACGCCAUCCCAUCACUGGGCCGUGAACGACUUCACUCACUGCCAACAAGCCUCACUGUGCCUGCAGCGGCAGCAUGAGGAAUCUAGAAGGCUGGUAUGAGCCGUGCCCGCUAGCCCUGCUCCGGAGGAGGCAGGGAAGGAUACCCUGAGCCAGUAAAGGGGAGUUAACUCAUGGAGCCUUACAUCAUGAGUUUCUGGUCGUCAGCUACAGAUCCAAAGAGGGACUCGUGCAGUAGAUGCCAAGAAACGUCCUCCACAACAGCUGUGUGUCCAGUGAAGAUGGUCUUAGCGUCCACAACCUUCCCCUCCUUAGGAACUGCACUGAUGUCCCACAUACAGAUCGUCUGCAGACAGAUGGGAAACAAGGUGAGAAAAGAAAAGACAUGGAGGGAGGAAGGAAGAGUGUUCAAGCACUUGCUCUGGGUCAAGUGACAAGUCACUCACAUGGUCAUCAGAAGCGCUGAGAAGACAGCCACUCAGGUUGGGGUUCCAGGAGAGACCGUAACCCUCCUUCUGGUGUCCCCUCAAACGCAGAUCUGGGGUGCACUCUCCAGAUGGAUCUGUAGUACACAGGUAAACACGUUAUUACCAAACAUUUUUAAAACAGGACUUGGACUUCCUGGCCAUACACUUUAAAUGUGCAGUAAGCAGACCCACCUGGUUUGGAGGGAUGUUUGGUGUAGUCAAAGACAAGCACAUCACUGGUUGGGGUUUUGGUGGCGAUGAUGCAGGGGUUCUGGGGCAUGUGGCGGGCUCUGUUCACCUCUCCCUCAUGGUUUAUCUUGAUUUCAAUCUCUAUCUUACCACUGACUGAGCCAAAGCCUCCAAACUCUGAAGGGAGCGAGAGAGUCAGAUCAGUGAGCUACAGCAAAAAGGACUAAUGUAUAUUACCAACAGUAAAAUAUUUUGAAUGAACCAAAGCCUUAAAACAUUUACACAGAAAGGUUGUAAUUGUAUCAAAAACAUUCUCUCACCGCCUUUCUCACUAUCAUAGUGAGAAGCAUCAAACUGCGCGUCGUCAUUGGGCAGUUGCACGCUGGCAAUGACCAGGUGAUUCUGUUCAUCUGAUGUGUGUGUGCCAAGAACCAGCCUGUGUACACUGAAAUCCUUCCCCUCAGGUCUAAAAAUAUAGAAAAAAGGUGUUCCAAAACAGAUACAUGUAAACAGUUUCCUUUUUUUAUGUAAUAGGGGGCAUUAGAAACUUAACAUGGUCUACACAAGGAUAUCUUCGCAACACAUAUGGAGGCCAAAAACAAUCCUCCUAAAGACACCUUAGCACUCUCAGUAAUCUAGCAAAGGCAGUUUUGUGAUCAGCACCAGUAUCUGGUAUUCAUGGGAACUAUAGCUAGUUAUGUAUUCCUAUAUUGAGAUGCACAGAUAGUUGCAGCAUUCAAGACACCUGGGAAAAAUAGUUUUGAAUGGUCAUCCAACUCAGGAAUUCUGGCAUAUUCCUAGAGCUCUGACUUUCCUCCCUGAAGAUCACUCAUAUGUUCACCUCGUUUUUUCAAGUUCCCAGUUGUCUUGAAAGUACCAAAUGAACCUUACCUGGUGACAUCAGGCAGCCACUGUGCUGUGAGGCUGGGCCACUCCAGGGCGUGGGUCAUCACCAGGUCAUAGAGGAAGGGCGUGUUCUUCUUCCAUAUCUUGUACUCCUCAUUUAUCACCCUCUCCUCCACAGCAUCAUCAAACGCUGCUGUAAAACAGAAUGAAAGUCAAUCGAGACAGAUUUAAAUGUAACUCAAACUAGCAGCAACCCAUUCAAAGGAAAUAUAGUUGUGAUUGAGGGCACCCUAUUAACAUUGAGAAAGUGUUAGCUAGCUAGUUAAUAGUUACGCCCAUUGAGUAGGGUUUUCCCGAUGUUAGCAAACGUACUGACAAAUUGAGCGAAAGUUAGCUAACUCAUUACACUCCCCCAAACAGGUUGUGUCUCUGACAUUAAACGCUUUGCUUUUGAA